Molecule: long non-coding RNA, 569 nt
Filed under: Ananas comosus (pineapple)
Lineage: Eukaryota; Viridiplantae; Streptophyta; Magnoliopsida; Poales; Bromeliaceae
Description: long non-coding RNA (ACOM_LNC026944)
Source: RNAcentral
CGCCCCUGUGUGGUACCGGUACGCAUUGCUGAAAACCUACAAUUUGCAUAUUUCAAUGCUAAAAUUCUGCUCUCGCGUCGCAACGAGUUCGUUUUGCGUCUAUUUUGCGCCAAAACGACUCGGACUUGUUCCGACACUCUCCAGAUGUAUCAACAAGCCUCAGAUGCAGAAGUCUCACAGCUACAGAAUUCCAGGAAUACUACAUUUGGUAUAAAAAAAUGGCUUUUUAGAAAUUAUAUUUGAGAAUAUAAGGACUUUUACAGUAACAAUAUAUAAAAGUUGAAUUUUGUAGAAAUAUAUUUGUCAUUCACUAUAUUUGCAAGGAUUUGUACGAAAUUAACUCAAAACUAUAAUUUUAUAAUUUUUAUUCCUUAUUAUAUAUAAAGAGGUGAAAAUAUUAACAAAUGACUUAUACUCACAAUUUAAAUUAAAAAUUUAUGUUUAUAUUUAUAUUUAAAAUCUAAAAUUAUAUUUUAAAAUUUAAACUUAAAUCUACUAUUUGAUCUUAAAUUUUAAAUUCAAAUAUGUAUUCAUAAUUUAAAUUAAUAUUUAAAUUAAAAAUUAAAAUU